This is a long non-coding RNA of Ictalurus punctatus (channel catfish), 781 nucleotides long. RefSeq lists it as uncharacterized. The record is from RefSeq and is a predicted model, not a curated record. Lineage: Eukaryota; Metazoa; Chordata; Actinopteri; Siluriformes; Ictaluridae. The transcript has 4 exons.
GUCAGGAGAAAAUGAGCUUUCCUUUUCUGCCGAAAGGAAUUUGGGGGAAAAUCUUUGCUUUUCCUUCACAAGAAACAAGUUUUAAGAAUUCAAUCAAUACAGACAAAUUUGACCAUUUUAUUUUCAUUUGACAUGUUUUACAUUUUACAACCAACAGACUCGGCUUCUCAACAGCUCCCGCUUCUCCCUGAAUAACUUUCUUCUUCAUGCUUUUUCGAGUUUGUUUGUUUGUUUGUUUGUUUGUUUGUUUGAGUUGGAAAGCAAACCUGAGUGUACCAGAAAGCAGGUUUACUCUGUGGGGAAUGGUGCAUUCGAGUCAAGGUCAAAACUUUCCAACCUUCAACUUGGAAAAACAACCCAGAGUUCAGCAAGUGACGUCCAACCAUCAUGGCGGCUCGCUGCAUCGACGGACCCAGGCUAAUCCAGGAUAUGGGCUUCAUACGACGUUUGUUUGAAGCUCGGUGCAACAUAUGAAUCAGUGCCUGUUUACCAGAAGCCUAUAGGUAAACCAGAAAAGUCUCAAACGAGCACUGUGAGUCCCCAAUCGAGUCACGGUGGAGCUCGAUCCUGAUUCAAUUUGUUCGUCUGCAGUGAUUAGGGGGUCUGUGUGAGGCUCUGCGCUGGAUCACAGAGAUGAGACCGGGCGCUGAAGCCAGGCAGCAGGUGGAUGAGUUUGCGGUUGGCGGGUGGUGGCGUGCCCGGUGCCUUCACCUUGUUUCGGCGGCGUAGUGGUGGUGUGCCUGGUGGCGUCAUGGUGUUCAUCACCAGUGGAGUGCGCGGG